GACAGAGGGUGCAAACGUUGUUCGGAAUUACUGGGCGUAAAGCGCGUGUAGGCUGCUCGGAAAGUCGGAUGUGAAAGCCCUGGGCUCAACCUAGGAAGUGCAUUCGAAACUUCCAAGCUGGAGUGCUGGAGAGGAAGGCGGAAUUCUCGGUGUAGAGGUGAAAUUCGUAGAUAUCGAGAGGAACACCGGUGGCGAAGGCGGCCUUCUGGACAGUAACUGACGCUGAGACGCGAAAGCGUGGGGAGCAAACAGG
This 253-nucleotide ribosomal RNA is filed under the name uncultured bacterium. Its description in RNAcentral is "partial 16S ribosomal RNA". It matches the Rfam family "Bacterial small subunit ribosomal RNA", at positions 524 to 776 of the family's 1533-position model. The record is from RNAcentral.